UUGCAUUAGCCAUCCUCUUUUUGAGUUUCCCAUCUGAAAUUUCAGCAAACAAAUACGCAUAUUCCUCUCCACCACCACCACAUUACUCAUCUCCUCCACCUCCACCGGUUCACACUUACCCUAAACCAGUCUACCACUCUCCACCACCACCAGUUCACACCUACCCUAAACCAGUUUACCACUCUCCACCACCACCAGUUCACAAGUACCCUCACCCUAAACCAGUAUACCACUCUCCACCACCCCCAGUUCACAAGUACCCUCAUCCACACCCAGUCUACCAUUCUCCACCACCCCCAGUUCACAAGUACCCCCAUCCUCACCCAGUGUACCACUCUCCCCCACCACCACCACCAAAGAAGUCCUACAAAUACCCAUCUCCCCCACCACCACCAGUUCACACCUACCCUAAACCAGUCUACCACUCUCCUCCACCCCCAGUUCAUCACACCUACCCUAAACCAGUCUACCACUCUCCUCCACCCCCAGUUCACACCUACCCUCACCCUAAACCAGUCUACCACUCUCCACCACCCCCAGUUCACACUUACCCUAAACCAGUCUACCACUCCCCACCACCACCAGUUCACACCUACGUCCCUCACCCUAAGCCAGUCUACCACUCUCCACCACCACCAGUUCACACCUAUCCCCCACAUGUUCCCCACCCAGUUUACCAUUCUCCUCCUCCUCCAGUUCAUUCCCCACCUCCACCACACUAUUACUACAAAUCACCUCCUCCACCUUACCACAACUAGAUAGCCCAUAAUUGGCAUCACACCAUAUGGUAACUUUUCAUGCAACAUAUAUAUUAUAACUUUUCAUAUUCUCUCUUUAUUAACUAGUUAUCGGUAUGAUUGUCGAGUAUAUACUAACAAGGCUAAUUUGAAAUGAAACUUCAUGUGCAAUGAAACAUUCUUUUACUGGUUAAUAUUUUAUUCUAUGUUUCAUUGAAAUUAAUAUUUUUCUAAUAGUAUUUGGUUAUUAAGGGAUUAGAGUAUAUCAGACAUAAACUGACAGAUCAAUAUAUUUGCAUUUGUGUAGGAUCUAAACAGAAAGUGUGAAAGCAAAGAAAGCCAUGCACAAAGAAGAUCAAGGGGAUUCUUCACAUAUAUUUCGUCAGCAUUUGAUUAAGAUUGUUUAGAGGGCUCCGUUUAUUUGUAUUUAAUUUGUGUUUUUGUUGUAUUAUCCACAGCUGUAAGGCACUGCCCCAAUAUGCAUGUGUCUGCAGUUGUUUUCAUGCAUUGUAAUUUUCAAAGUUCGGCUUUGUAUCAAGCUGACUCACAAACUAAAUAAAUAUAUAUCCCCUAUUAUAGUAAUCUGUCCCUUUCAUCUAUGACUCCUUUUAUAUUACUAUUCUUGUGAUAAAAAUAAUCUGUGUUUAUUUGUUUCUACUAAUUAUUUUUGGUUUACCUUUCUCCGUACAAAUAAAAUUUAGUUUAAAAGUGAAUUUGACAGCACUUUUAAGAGAAACCUAAAAGAAAUAGAAGAAUAAUGCUUCUCAAAAGAUUAAAAAAAGACCACUAUAUUAUAUAUAUGUGAACCAAGGAUCAUGUCUCAAUGUGUGUGUUUUUUCUUUUAACGAGAAAGAUCUAUAAUUAUAAUGUAAACAAGAGUACAAUGAGUACUACAACUCACUACAAAAAGAGGUGCAACACUUCAAACGAAAAAAAUAGCACACACCAUAAGCAAUACAAAAGCAUUAGUCUACAAAGCCAAUAGGGUGGCAUUUAACAUGGGGCAGUAAAAUUUUAUCCCACCAUGGAAAAGUGGAUCCAUUAUGGGCAGGUGGCAGUUUUAACUUGCUGCAGUUAAAAAAAGAAGAAAAAAAAAAUUACUUAUUAUUUUAUUCGGUUUCAACUUGCUAUUUCACCUCCUUGUUGCUGCAAUAAAAAAGGAUCUCCAGUAAAUUUGCUCCAAACCAACCCCAUCGGCCAUCUCUACACCUCAUCUGCGCCAAUCCACCAUUGUGUUUUUCUCUUACCAUCUUCAUGAGGAGCUGUUGAGAGUGAUGCCCAAUUGGCCAUGAAAUAUAUCCAACCAAUUUGCGCUCAAAUUUUCCAUGAAUGCAAAACAGACUCCUUUUGUUUGACACAUGCAUUUAUAUUUGUUUGGAUGGUAUCAUUGUGGAGAUGGUUGGAGAAAAUUUCAUGAAGUGAUUCUUCUAUUAGCUGAGGAAGAAAUUGGAAAAGAAUCAUUAUUUUUUUCUACCCAUUAUUUUAUAUGUAUAUAACUGUGUCGGUUUCUUUUCAAUUUUUUGGUUUGAAUGGAAUUUUAUUAAAUUUGAAAAACCAGUUUAUUUUUCCUCGAAAAAAGAAAUAGUUUAUUUUCUAAUAUAAAAGUGUUAUUCUACCACCUGACCAAAAAAAGUGUUAUUCUACCAAAAAAUAUUUAAUUAAAAGCGUUAAUUAUACCCAAAAAUACAAAAAAAAAAUUGCUUUUAAUUAGUAAAUAUGUUGUGGCUCAUACUCGAAGGUUACUUUAUAAGCCCCCCUCAUAUCUCUCUAGGCCCCCUAAAGUUACAAAAAUAUCCUCAAAUAACACAUUCUGUACAUACCUACGGAAGGUGAAUGUUUUUAAUUUUAUUUUUGCAGCUUCUGUACAUACCUACCGGACAGAGAAUUGAGGCAAAUAUUUAGGAAACUAAUAUGAAAAAAAGCCUGAAACUGAGUCCAUAAAUUCUCCAUUGAUGAAAAGCUUUUAAAACUUUAUAGUUGGAAUCUUUACAAAGGAGUCUAAGAUGAUGUGAUUUGCCAUCUCUAUUUCUCUGUCUACCUUUCAACAGGGACUACAAAGAGAAAAUUUUCAAUUGAGAAAAACUAUGAACUUCCUGAUGAACAAAUGGACAAGUUAUCACAAUUGGGGCUGAGAGGUUUCGUUGCCCAGAAGUCCUUUUCCAUCCAUCUAUGAUUUCAAAAUAUCUAUUUGGAAUGUAACUACAGAAAGUGUAAAUCUGAAAAUGUGAAAAUAUGCCUCCGGUAUGUACAUACCGAAGGUGCAAAAUGUGGAGAGAAAAAAUAUGCACUACCGGUUUGUAUCUACUGAAUGUGUUGUGAAGGUUAUUUUUGUAUUUUUAGGAGGCCUAAAAAGAUAUUGGAGGGGCCUAAAAAGUAACCUUCCAUUCUUAGAAGAAAAAAAAAUGGAAGCCAACAUCCAAACACAUAAAAGCCCACAAUCAAUUAUAAACAUAAACAAUUUGUUGUGGGGUAAAAAUUUUUGUAGUAGGUUUAAUUGGCAAAAAGUUAGAAGAAGGUUGCCAUCAACAAAUCUGAACCAUUCACUUAAAAUAUUAAUAUAUCAAUGGUUAAAACAUCAACUUUUUUAUGAUGGGAAAAAACUUCACUUUCCCAUUUUAAACCCCACCAGCCAAUAGAGAGAAACUACAUCAAAAGCUACACCACCUCAACAAGAACAAAAAGAUAAAUGGAGAAAAUUGAACCCGAAAUUUAUCAAGGACAGUCUCAAUUUGUGUGUUUUGAUACUUUUGUGUCUCAAAAUAAUUGAAUCAUUUGUAAAAUAAAAAAAAUUGUCUCACAAUAAUUUACUCGUUUCGCUUUUCAAUACAAUAUUAAUUACUUUUUUUUUAUUUAUAACUCUAAUUAAUACUACUUUCAUCAUUCCAAAUUUAAUAUCAAUAUAUUGAAUUUGGAGUAACGUAGAAUGUACAAAUAUUUGACAACACACUUAAAACCAUUUUUCACUCUUUCACUUAUAUAUUUUUUCUUAAUAUAUGUGAAAUGAACAAACGACUCACUUAUAUUAUAAAUCAGAGAAGUAUUUAGUUCAAGACUUUGUAUUGCUAAACUUUGACAUGUCUUGUGUUUAGUUUAGCCCCUUUAUUGAACAGGAAAAAAUACCGCAACUUCAGUAUCCCGGGCUAAAUGCCACCCCCCAUUCCCCAUAAGUUGCCAAAAGAAUAAAUAAACUCUGCUUUUGAUACAUAGACAUCCCUCGUUCCAACCAUCUAUGCAUAAAGACUCAAUAUAACGGCAAUUCAUCGAAGUACAUAAACCAAUUGUUUAAGGUGUACUAUUAGAGAAUCAAACCGAGGAACUAGUGGCGGAGCCAGGAAAUUUAUGGAGCUUGGGCAAAAAAUUAAUCGUAAAUUCACAUGUGACAUAAUAUAUAAACAGUCAUAAAUUGAAAGAAAAAUUUUUUUUUUCCUAAAAAAAAUUGAAAUAAAAGAUGUUUAUCAUUUUGUAAACAAAAGUACAAUUUAAAAUAUGAUUAUUAAUUGAAAUUGACCACGUAAUAUACAUGAAGUCUGAAAAUUGACCCUGCUGUAAUUAAAUAACAUGUAUUCUGACCAUGUAAUUCGAGAUUUUUAUUAUUUAUAACAUGUAAUAUACGCGAAGUCCAAAAAAGCAACCGAGAGAUUUAAUUUUUUCAUGAUUUCCUAGAGGCGAGUUAAGAACGUUAAAAUAUGGCUUUAACAAAAAAAAUAUAAAUUUUCGACAAACGACAAAUUAAUUAUGAUUUUUUAAAGUGUCAAAAGCUCAAAAAACAAAACAACGGAAAUCUCAAUCAAUAAAUCGAAUUUUGAGCUCAUUAUUUGCAGAGAGAUCUAUAAAAAUACAUAAAAAGGAUCUGUAAAGUUUCAUAGCAUUUCGAAGUCGUUUAAAUUUAUUUUGAUUUUUCAACUGAAACAUGUAAAAUUGAAAUUUUGUUUCGCGUAAGCGUAUACUCACAAGUCAAAUUUAGUUCCCUAAUUUUGUAGGCAUGACUAGAACAUGAUAAGAACCUUCACAAUGAAAUUUUGUAAUUUUUAAACUAGAUACAAAUUAAUUAUAAAUUGUUUAAGAAAUUCAUAAUUAUGAUGGAAUAAAAAUUCAUAAUUAAUUUAUCCCUGGUCGAAGAAAUUUAAUUUUGAGUAAAGCUAUAUUUUAACGUGCUAAAUAUGUAUGAAAAAAAUAGUGAAAAAAUUCAACAUGUAGGGCACAUUUUUAGACUACACGUAUAUUAUAGAGUGGUCAAAAUUAAAUAAGAAGAAAUUCAAGUUGCAAUGCUAGAAUAUAUAUUUUUUAUUUUAUUGGGUCAUUUUUCAAACAUAAAGUAUAUUACAAGGUCAAUUUGAACAAUUAACCCGUUAAAAUAAGAGAGAUGAACCCGUCAAUAGCGUACUAAAUAAAAUUUCAAGACUUAUUUGCGUGUGACAAUUUUCAGAUUGCCCAAAUUUUUCUUUUUGUAAAUGUGUUAACGGGCUUUUGGGUUGAGUCUAAUGUGCAAAAAUUAUCGAUCGAGCCCGGGCGAUCGUCUGGGGUCGCCAUACGGUAGAACCGCCCCUGCUAGGAACGAGGGGCGGAUCCACUUAGGUGUUAUGUGGAGCUAAAGCUCCACAUGUUUUUUCCUUUUUUUUUUGUUAUAAUUGAUAAAACGAAAAAGAAGUGACUUAGUAAAUAAUUCUCUCAUUUUCCCUUCUCUCUUAGUCUCGUAAAGUCAUUUCUAGUUUUUACGUGACAAAUUAUUGAGGAUGUCUGAGUUUUAUCCAAAUGAUUUUAUAGAUAUGUCGGAAGUGACGUUACGCACUCAACUUGUGAAUUAUGUUACAAAUGUUUAAAAUUUGCUAAGUUCAAAGGGCUUUUAGAUCUUUAUGCAAAACUUGUGGAAACAAAUAAGUGCAAACAAGAUGUAUGUUAGCACACUACUGUAUAUUAGACUAUUUGAUCUGCGAGUUUUUGUGUUUCUUACACAAUCUCGACGAGAAUAAUAUUUAUCGAUUAACAAAAAAUACAUUUAACUAAUUUGCAUUAUUAUACAAGGGUGAUUAAAUGGAGUAAGCCGAAUAGAGGUCGAAUGAAAUGUAAUAUUGAUGCAUCGUUUCCUAAUAAUGAGAACCGAAUUUGAAUAGGCAUUUGCAUUUGGGAUGAUGAAGGUGCAUUUGUGAUUGCAAUAACAUAAUGUUUAACUUCAAAGUGUGAUGUGCACAUUGAUGAAGCAUUGGGUUUGUUGACAACUCUUCAAUGGGUGCAUGAGUUACAUACAGUUAGGGCCUAUAGAGUUCGAACUUGAUUCCAAAAAAAGUGGUUGAUAGCUUUGGAGCUAAUAGGCAUGAUUCGACGGAAUUUGGAGCUAUUAUUAAUUAUUGUAAAAUAUUGUUUAAUCAUUUAUAUGAAAACUCGAGUGUAGAGUUUGUUCGGAGACAAGCAAAUGGGGUUGUCCAUGAAUUAGCAAAGGCGGCCACAUUAUCGAUUAGUUUCCAUAUUUUGGUUAUGCCACCACAUUGUAUUGAACACAUUUUAAUUAAUGAUAUUCUAUAAGUUUUCCCCUCUAAAAAAAAAACUAAUUUGCAUUAUUAUUUAUAUGAAAUUUUAACUACAUAUAUACCGAAAGUAUAGAUUUGCCCAUGGUAGAAACCCGUCAAAAUUUGUUAUUUCCACCAAUUAGUGAAUACUAUCCAUUUUACAAAGCCAUCAUUCGGUUAAGAAACUGUCAAAUUGUUAUCCUGCAUUCACUUAUAAUAGCAUGUGUCUUUCACUGUUAGACAAACAAACAAAUAUUAACAGCUUAAACUUUUUGAGAAUUUGUACAUAUUUUAAAAAAAUAUCAUAUGAAUAUGUAUUUAAUCUCACUUUUUGUACUUUACUACUAAAGAAGGUUUCAGAUUUCGCCACCAGAAUACUUUCCAUGUACUUCUCUUAUUUUAUCAUCACAUCUCUCACUUUCUUCUUUCAAGGUAGUUUUAUGAUCUAUUAAAAAGUUCACGGGGAAAUAAACAUCUAAGUAGGUUUUAGGCUAUGCCAAACUCUUUAAAAAGUUACGUUAGAUCCUUAAAAAAAGUUAUGUUAGAUCCUUAAAAGAUCAGAUUGAGAGACAAGGAAAGGGGCAUGUAAUUUCUUGGAUUGCUACAUGAAUAUCUACAAGUACAGACAAUUCAAUUUAGGAUUAAUGGUGUUUUUGGAUUAUUAUUGAAGAAGAAGAAGGUGAGGGGGGUACAUUACAACAA
RNAcentral lists this long non-coding RNA (6943 nucleotides) under Medicago truncatula (barrel medic). RNAcentral describes it as "long non-coding RNA (MTRU_LNC007681)". The record is from RNAcentral. Lineage: Eukaryota; Viridiplantae; Streptophyta; Magnoliopsida; Fabales; Fabaceae.